Molecule: ribosomal RNA, 474 nt
Filed under: uncultured bacterium
Lineage: Bacteria
Description: partial 16S ribosomal RNA
Rfam family: Bacterial small subunit ribosomal RNA
Source: RNAcentral
GAUGAACGCUGGCGGCAGGCCUAACACAUGCAAGUCGAGGGAGGAGCUUUCGGGCUUCGACCGGCGUACGGGUGCGUAACGCGUAUACAAUCUGCCUUUCACAUAGGGAUAGCCCGAAGAAAUUUGGAUUAAUACCUAAUGGUAUAUAGAGGUGGCAUCACCUUUAUAUUAAAGCUGAGGCGGUGAAAGAUGAGUAUGCGUUCUAUUAGCUAGUUGGAGAGGUAACGGCUCCCCAAGGCGACGAUAGAUAGGGGUUCUGAGAGGGAUAUCCCCCACACUGGUACUGCGAUACGGACCAGACUCCUACGGGAGGCAGCAGUGAGGAAUAUUGGACACUGGUCGGAAGACUGAUCCAGCCAUGCCGCGUGCAGGAAGUCGGCCUUAUGGGUUGUAAGCUGCUUUUGCAGGGGAAGAAUAAGGGCUACGCGUAGUUUGAUGACGGUACUCUGCGAAUAAGCAUCGGCUAACUCCGUG